RNAcentral lists this transfer RNA (65 nucleotides) under Dipodomys ordii (Ord's kangaroo rat). It matches the Rfam family "tRNA". Rfam says of the family: Transfer RNA (tRNA) molecules are approximately 80 nucleotides in length. Their secondary structure includes four short double-helical elements and three loops (D, anti-codon, and T loops). Further hydrogen bonds mediate the characteristic L-shaped molecular structure. tRNAs have two regions of fundamental functional importance: the anti-codon, which is responsible for specific mRNA codon recognition, and the 3' end, to which the tRNAs corresponding amino acid is attached (by aminoacyl-tRNA synthetases). tRNAs cope with the degeneracy of the genetic code in two manners: having more than one tRNA (with a specific anti-codon) for a particular amino acid; and 'wobble' base-pairing, i.e. permitting non-standard base-pairing at the 3rd anti-codon position. The record is from Rfam by way of RNAcentral. Lineage: Eukaryota; Metazoa; Chordata; Mammalia; Rodentia; Heteromyidae.
GGUGGCUCAGUGGUAGAGUGCUUGCCUUACAUGCUUGAAGCCUUGGGUUCGAUUCCUCAGCACCA